Molecule: transfer RNA, 75 nt
Filed under: Loxodonta africana (African savanna elephant)
Lineage: Eukaryota; Metazoa; Chordata; Mammalia; Proboscidea; Elephantidae
Rfam family: tRNA
About the family: Transfer RNA (tRNA) molecules are approximately 80 nucleotides in length. Their secondary structure includes four short double-helical elements and three loops (D, anti-codon, and T loops).
Source: Rfam by way of RNAcentral
GCAGUGGUGGUUCAGUGGUAGAAUUCUCACCUUCCAUGCAAGAGACCUAGCUAGGUUCAAUUCCUGGCCAGUGCG